Molecule: ribosomal RNA, 466 nt
Filed under: uncultured bacterium
Lineage: Bacteria
Description: partial 16S ribosomal RNA
Rfam family: Bacterial small subunit ribosomal RNA
Source: RNAcentral
GAUGAACGCUGGCGGCGUGCUUAACACAUGCAAGUCGAACGAUAACGCUCAGCUUGCUGGGUGUUAUAGUGGCGAACGGGUGAGUAACACGGGAGUAACCUGCCCUUUACUCUUGGAUAAGCCUGGGAAACGAGGUCUAUAACCUGAUAGGACCGCCUACCUCCUGGUGGGAGUUGGAGAGAUUUAUCGGUUUUGGAAUGACUGGCGGCGUAACAGCUUUUGCGAGAGGUAAGGGUACACCAAGACGACGACGGGGAGCCGGCCUGGGAGGGUGACCGGCCACCCUGGGACUGAGGGACGGCCCAGACUCCUACGGGGGGCAACAGUGGGGAAUAUUGCACAAUCGGCGCAAGCCUGAUGAAGAGACCCCGCGUGUGGGAAGACGGCCUUCUGGUUGUAAACCUCUUUCAGUAGGGAAGAAGCGAGAGUGACGGUACCCGCAGAAGAAGCACCGGCUAACUUCGUG